UUUGAUCCUGGCUCAGAUUGAACGCUGGCGGCAGGCUUAACACAUGCAAGUCGAGCGGUAACAGGAGAAGCUUGCUUCUCGCUGACGAGCGGCGGACGGGUGAGUAAUACUUAGGAAUCUGCCCAGUAGUGGGGGAUAGCUCGGGGAAACUCGAAUUAAUACCGCAUACACCCUACGGGGAAAAGGGGGCGCUUGCGCUCUCGCUAUUGGAUGAGCCUAAGUCGGAUUAGCUAGUUGGUGGGGUAAAGGCCUACCAAGGCGACGAUCUGUAGCUGGUCUGAGAGGAUGAUCAGCCACACCGGGACUGAGACACGGCCCGGACUCCUACGGGAGGCAGCAGUGGGGAAUAUUGGACAAUGGGGGCAACCCUGAUCCAGCCAUGCCGCGUGUGUGAAGAAGGCCUUUUGGUUGUAAAGCACUUUAAGCAGUGAAGAAGACCUAACGGUUAAUACCCGUUAGCGAUGACAUUAGCUGCAGAAUAAGCACCGGCUAACUCUGUGCCAGCAGCCGCGGUAAUACAGAGGGUGCAAGCGUUAAUCGGAAUUACUGGGCGUAAAGCGAGCGUAGGUGGCUUGAUAAGUCAGAUGUGAAAUCCCCGGGCUUAACCUGGGAACUGCAUCUGAUACUGUUGGGCUAGAGUAGGUGAGAGGGAGGUAGAAUUUCAGGUGUAGCGGUGAAAUGCGUAGAGAUCUGAAGGAAUACCGAUGGCGAAGGCAGCCUCCUGGCAUCAUACUGACACUGAGGUUCGAAAGCGUGGGUAGCAAAC
This 766-nucleotide ribosomal RNA is filed under the name uncultured bacterium. RNAcentral describes it as "bacterial SSU rRNA". It matches the Rfam family "Bacterial small subunit ribosomal RNA", at positions 12 to 773 of the family's 1533-position model. The record is from RNAcentral.